This 235-nucleotide ribosomal RNA is filed under the name Cryptosporidium sp. genotype 3. RNAcentral's name for it is "partial small subunit ribosomal RNA". The stretch from base 99 to 235 matches the Rfam family "Eukaryotic small subunit ribosomal RNA", at positions 751 to 892 of the family's 1831-position model. The record is from RNAcentral. Lineage: Eukaryota; Apicomplexa; Conoidasida; Eucoccidiorida; Cryptosporidiidae.
GUAGUUGGAUUUCUGUUAAUAAUUUAUAUAUAAUAUUUUUAAUAUUUAUAUAAUAUUAACAUAAUUCAUAUUACUAUAUUAUUAUUAGUAUAUGAAAUUUUACUUUGAGAAAAUUAGAGUGCUUAAAGCAGGCAUAUGCCUUGAAUACUCCAGCAUGGAAUAAUAUAAAAGAUUUUUAUCUUUUUUAUUGGUUCUAAGAUAAAAAUAAUGAUUAAUAGGGACAGUUGGGGGCAUU